GACGAACGCUGGCGGCGUGCCUAAUACAUGCAAGUAGAACGCUGAAGCGAGGAGCUUGCUCUUCUUGGAUGAGUUGCGAACGGGUGAGUAACGCGUAGGUAACCUGCCUUGUAGCGGGGGAUAACUAUUGGAAACGAUAGCUAAUACCGCAUAACAAUGGAUGACACAUAUCAUUUAUUUGAAAGGGGCAAUUGCUCCACUACAAGAUGGACCUGCGUUGUAUUAGCUAGUAGGUGAGGUAAUGGCUCACCUAGGCGACGAUACAUAGCCGACCUGAGAGGGUGAUCGGCCACACUGGGACUGAGACACGGCCCAGACUCCUACGGGAGGCAGCAGUAGGGAAUCUUCGGCAAUGGGGGCAACCCUGACCGAGCAACGCCGCGUGAGUGAAGAAGGGUUUCGGAUCGUAAAGCUCUGUUGUAAGUCAAGAACGGGUGUGAGAGUGGAAAGUUCACACUGUGACGGUAGCUUACCAGAAAGGGACGGCUAACUACGUG
RNAcentral lists this ribosomal RNA (497 nucleotides) under uncultured bacterium. RNAcentral describes it as "partial 16S ribosomal RNA". It matches the Rfam family "Bacterial small subunit ribosomal RNA", at positions 28 to 507 of the family's 1533-position model. The record is from RNAcentral.